UACGUAGGGUGCGAGCGUUGUCCGGAAUUACUGGGCGUAAAGAGCUCGUAGGUGGUUUGUCGCGUUGUUCGUGAAAACUCACAGCUUAACUGUGGGCGUGCGGGCGAUACGGGCAGACUGGAGUACUGCAGGGGAGACUGGAAUUCCUGGUGUAGCGGUGAAAUGCGCAGAUAUCAGGAAGAACACCCGUGGCGAAGGCGGCUCUCUGGAACGCAACUGACGCUGAGACGCGAAAGCGUGGGGAGCAAACAGG
Molecule: ribosomal RNA, 253 nt
Filed under: uncultured bacterium
Lineage: Bacteria
Description: partial 16S ribosomal RNA
Rfam family: Bacterial small subunit ribosomal RNA
Source: RNAcentral